RNAcentral lists this ribosomal RNA (253 nucleotides) under uncultured bacterium. RNAcentral's name for it is "partial 16S ribosomal RNA". It matches the Rfam family "Bacterial small subunit ribosomal RNA", at positions 524 to 776 of the family's 1533-position model. The record is from RNAcentral.
CACGGGGGGAGCAAGCGUUGUUCGGAAUCACUGGGCGUAAAGGGCGUGUAGGCGGUCAAGUAAGUGGGAUGUGAAACCCCUCGGCUUACCCGAGGAACUGCAUUCCAAACUGCUUGACUUGAGUAUGGGAGAGGAUGAGGGAAUUCCUGGUGUAGCGGUGAAAUGCGUAGAUAUCAGGAGGAACACCGGUGGCGAAAGCGCUCAUCUGGCCCAAUACUGACGCUGAGGCGCGAAAGCUAGGGGAGCAAACGGG